RNAcentral lists this microRNA precursor (99 nucleotides) under Oryzias latipes (Japanese medaka). RNAcentral's name for it is "microRNA ola-mir-29b precursor (ola-mir-29b-2)". Its record names the gene ola-mir-29b-2. The stretch from base 15 to 84 matches the Rfam family "mir-29 microRNA precursor family". Rfam says of the family: This family represents the microRNA (miRNA) precursors mir-29. Animal miRNAs are transcribed as ~70nt precursors and subsequently processed by the Dicer enzyme to give a ~22nt product. In this case the mature sequence comes from the 3' arm of the precursor. The record is from miRBase by way of RNAcentral. Lineage: Eukaryota; Metazoa; Chordata; Actinopteri; Beloniformes; Adrianichthyidae.
GUUGGUCUUCCCUAAGAAGCUGGUUUCACGUGGUGGUUUAGAUGUGUCUUUCUGUUGUCUAGCACCAUUUGAAAUCAGUGUUCUUGGGGACAGCAGGAC